RNAcentral lists this ribosomal RNA (460 nucleotides) under uncultured bacterium. Its description in RNAcentral is "partial 16S ribosomal RNA". It matches the Rfam family "Bacterial small subunit ribosomal RNA", at positions 338 to 795 of the family's 1533-position model. The record is from RNAcentral.
CCUACGGGAGGCAGCAGUGAGGAAUAUUGGUCAAUGGGCGGAAGCCUGAACCAGCCAAGUAGCGUGCAGGAAGACUGCCCUACGGGUUGUAAACCUCUUUUAUACGGGAAUAACAAUGCCUACGUGUAGGCCUUUGCAUGUACCUUAUGAAUAAGCAUCGGCUAACUCCGUGCCAGCAGCCGCGGUAAAACGGAGGAUGCGGGCGUUAUCCGGCUUUAUUGGGUUUAAAGGGUGCGUAGGCCGGCUGUCAAGUGUGCUGGUAAAGGGCCGGGCUUAACCCGGGCCUGGCAGUGAGAACUGGCGUGCGUGAGUCCGCACAAAGUAGGCGGAAUUCGUCAUGUAGCGGUGAAAUGCUUAGAUAUGACGAAGAACCCCGAUAGCGAAGGCAGCUUGCUGCAGCGGAACUGACGCUGAUGCACGAAAGCGCGGGUAUCGAACAGGAUUAGAUACCCGUGUAGUC